CAUUACUGAGAUAGGGUCCUUUUUGGGACUCGACCCUCCCACCCUUUGUGUAUAUACCUCUGUUGCUUCGGCGGCCCCCGCGGCGUACGGCGUUAUAAAAUGCGUCGAGCCCGGCCCGCCAGAGGCCAUUUCGAUUCUGACUCUUAUCAAUGACUGUCUGAGCAUACUUUGCAAAAAAUUCAAUCAAAACUUUCAACAACGGAUCUCUUGGUUCUGGCAUCGAUGAAGAACGCAGCGAAAUGCGAUAAGUAAUGCGAAUUGCAGAAUUCAGUGAAUCAUCGAAUCUUUGAACGCACAUUGCGCCCUCUGGUAUUCCGGAGGGCAUGCUUGUUCGAGCGUCAUUACACCUCUCAAGCUUGGCUUGGUAUUGGGUCUCCGCCCUUUGUGGACGGGCCUGAAAAUCAGUGGCGGUGCAGCCGGUGCUCAGAGCAUAGUACAUUUAUCUCGCUUUGGAGUCACCGGGUGGACCCGCCAGACAA
RNAcentral lists this ribosomal RNA (479 nucleotides) under Circinaria leprosescens. RNAcentral describes it as "eukaryotic LSU rRNA". The stretch from base 188 to 341 matches the Rfam family "5.8S ribosomal RNA". Lineage: Eukaryota; Fungi; Ascomycota; Lecanoromycetes; Pertusariales; Megasporaceae. The record is from RNAcentral.